GCCAGCAGCCAUAUCACCCUGCAACUCACAACUGGUAACCCACUGAAGCUAAGCAGGUGUGAGCCUGGUCAGUACCUGGAUCGGAGACCUUCUGGGAAAAACCGAGAUUGCUGCUGGAA
Ribosomal RNA from Lepisosteus oculatus (spotted gar), 119 nucleotides. NCBI's taxonomy places the organism in Eukaryota, Metazoa, Chordata, Actinopteri, Semionotiformes, Lepisosteidae. The record is from Ensembl.